Molecule: ribosomal RNA, 924 nt
Filed under: uncultured Acidobacteriota bacterium
Lineage: Bacteria; Pseudomonadati; Acidobacteriota
Description: bacterial SSU rRNA
Rfam family: Bacterial small subunit ribosomal RNA
Source: RNAcentral
AGAGUUUGAUCCUGGCUCAGAAUCAACGCUGGCGGCGUGCCUCAGACAUGCAAGUCGAACGCGAAAGGCCCCUUCGGGGGCCGAGUAGAGUGGCGUCCGGGUGAGUAACACGUAGGUAAUCUACCUCUGGGUGGGGAAUAACGACCGGAAACGGUCGCUAAUACCGCAUAAUGCAGCGGCACCACAUGGUGACAGUUGUUAAAGCGGGGGAUCGCAAGACCUCGCGCCUAGAGAGGAGCCUGCGGCGGAUUAGCUAGUUGGCAGGGUAACGGCCUACCAAGGCAACGAUCCGUAGCCGGCCUGAGGGGGCGGUCGGCCACACUGGCACUGACACACGGGCCAGACUCCUACGGGAGGCAGCAGUCGGGAAUUUUGGGCAAUGGGCGAAAGCCUGACCCAGCAACGCCGCGUGAAGGAUGAAGCUUUUCGGAGUGUAAACUUCAUAAGAAUGGGACGAAUAAGGAGGGGCUAAUACCCCCUUUGAUGACGGUACCAUUUGUAAGCUCCGGCUAACUCCGUGCCAGCAGCCGCGGUAAUACGGGGGGAGCAAGCGUUGUUCGGAUUUACUGGGCGUAAAGGGCGCGUAGGCGGCGCAACAAGUCACUUGUGAAAUCUCCGGGCUUAACCCGGAGCGGCCAAGUGAUACUGUCGUGCUAGAGUGCGGAAGGGGCUACUGGAAUUCUCGGUGUAGCGGUGAAAUGCGUAGAUAUCGAGAGGAACACCUGCGGCGAAAGCGGGUAGCUGGGCCGACACUGACGCUGAGGCGCGAAAGCCAGGGGAGCGAACGGGAUUAGAUACCCCGGUAGUCCUGGCCUUAAACGAUGGAUGCUUGGUGUCCGGGGUUACAUAGUCCCCGGGUGCCGGCGCUAACGCAUUAAGCAUCCCGCCUGGGAGUACGGUCGCAGACUGAACUCAAGGAUUGAC